AUAUGAACUGUGAGAGGGACAGUACAAUAUUUAUAUGCUUUAAGCAGUGCAUGAAUUUGCCUGUUAGCGAUCCGGGGAUGGUGAAAGCCCGGUAGAAGCAAAAUAUUGGAAGAUCACCCUUGAGUUCCUUGCUGAACGUUCAAAUGAAUUAUUAAGCAUAGGCGAUUCAUUCGCGUUAAGAAUGCUUGAGCGGAUAGAAAAGAUUGAAUUUCUAUCUACAAGGGUGGUACCGCGGGAGAUAAAACCUUCUCGUCCCUUUU
RNAcentral lists this non-coding RNA (260 nucleotides) under Bacillus sp. (in: firmicutes). RNAcentral describes it as "Bacillus sp. T-box sequence". It matches the Rfam family "T-box leader". From Rfam's summary of the family: Uncharged tRNA acts as the effector for transcription antitermination of genes in the T-box leader family. T-boxes are found upstream of many aminoacyl-tRNA synthetase genes and some amino acid biosynthetic genes usually in Gram-positive bacteria. The record is from RNAcentral. Lineage: Bacteria; Bacillati; Bacillota; Bacilli; Caryophanales; Bacillaceae.